This 395-nucleotide ribosomal RNA is filed under the name uncultured bacterium. Its description in RNAcentral is "bacterial SSU rRNA". It matches the Rfam family "Bacterial small subunit ribosomal RNA", at positions 29 to 429 of the family's 1533-position model. The record is from RNAcentral.
AGUGAACGCUGGCGGCAGGCCUAACACAUGCAAGUCGAACGGCAGCGGACCUUCGGGUGCCGGCGAGUGGCGAACGGGUGAGUAAUAUAUCGGAACGUACCUUUCAGUGGGGGAUAACGUAGCGAAAGUUACGCUAAUACCGCAUAUUCUGUGAGCAGGAAAGCAGGGGAUCGCAAGACCUUGCGCUGAUUGAGCGGCCGAUAUCAGAUUAGCUAGUUGGUGAGGUAAAGGCUCACCAAGGCGACGAUCUGUAGCGGGUCUGAGAGGAUGAUCCGCCACACUGGAACUGAGACACGGUCCAGACUCCUACGGGAGGCAGCAGUGGGGAAUUUUGGACAAUGGGCGCAAGCCUGAUCCAGCCAUGCCGCGUGAGUGAAGAAGGCCUCGGUUGUAAG